Long non-coding RNA from Equus caballus (horse), 13478 nucleotides. Lineage: Eukaryota; Metazoa; Chordata; Mammalia; Perissodactyla; Equidae. The record is from Ensembl.
UAGUCUCAAUAUUGAGUGCUUUGAAAUGAAUAACUUUCCAAGUAUUUAUUAUAAGAAAUUGAAAGUCCAAGUUAAUUUUGAGUACUGUUAUUAAGCAAACAUGUGCAAAUAAUUUAAUUUUUAAAACCUAUGGAAGCUCACAUAAAGGUUAAGAUAAGUUUGAAAAUCAUUAACUUGCAUAAAAGGCAAAUGGCACUUUGGGAUUUAGUAUUAUAAGCAAGAUUUCAUUUUAAUUUAUCCUAUUUUCCUAAGAAUAGCAAUGUUAUUGAUUUAUUCUGAGAGAGUUCCCCCCACACACAGUGAUUUUUUUUUUUUACUGUGGUAGGUAAUAAAAAGGAUUACAGGCCCCCAGAAGGAUGAGAUAUCAUCAGUUUGUAAUCCAGCCCAUGGUUUCCUAGAUACCGUAUUGUCUAUUCUGUUCCGCUAUGUGAAAAAUGUUGAAUAUCAACAAUGGGUUUCAGUGCUGUAUUGUUGAGUUUUGUAUGAACUAAUCUAGCUUCACUAAGAAAAAAAAAGAAAGAAAAGAAAAGAAAGAGAGAAGAAAAAAAGGAAAAAAAAAAAAAGAACCACAGCUUUGCACAAAAGUCUAUAGCCAGUGCAUUUGAAACUCCCCUUGCACAAGGGCUGACUGUGGCCGGGGGAAGACAGUUUACUCAGUUGCUCUCUCCUUUCAUACAGUCAGCUGGUCCCUCUUCUCAGGUGUAGAUCACCUAUUACCACUUCACCUGUUUUGAUUCUCUGAUGAGGAAAGUCCCAGGACUUAUCAGCUGGGAUAGGCCUCAUUCACAAGACACCUCUGUAUUUGGAAGAAAGAAAGCCUGACAGGUUUCUCCGGAAAAGUGGCCAUCCAUGGAAUGAAUGAAAUGUUCCCUUUCUAUUCCAGCUCUGCCCUUUAUGCUGGGGAAUCUGUGUCUUCAUGUGAGCAGAAGGUGUCUCCCAAGCAAAGGAAAAGUCAGGCCCAUGGGCAUAGACAGUGCAUGGUUCUCCAGAACUGCCCCAUCCCUGGAACACCUACACAAAAAUAGACGUGGUCCUGCCAAAAGAUGCUCUUGAAACGUUCAAGAAGGGCCUCACCUUCUUAUUGGACAAUUCCCUAAUGUCCCAUUUUCUUGUUUGGAAGUAAGUGACUUGAAGGGUAAGUCCUGUAUAUACCACUUGAAAAUAAAUAUUGUAGGUGACUGGUCUUUGGUCAAAGAGAUUUGGAAAGAAGGAAAGGUUGCAAAAUUUAAAAGAAAAAAAAAAAGAGGCUUAUAACUGAGAGAAAGAAGGAAGAUCUUAUUCCAACUAGGUUUCUUAGCUGCAUUUGCUGUCAUUCAUGUGUCACAGGUGAUUCUGGAAAUCAGUUCUGAGCUGAAUCCUCUGGGAUAUUGCAAGCUCACUUUCCUAUUUCCUCCUGCUCCUGCCAACAUUUCCUUCAAUGGGAACAAUGUGAGAUAAGGUCAUUGUCAGAAUACUAUGAAGAAAAGACCUAGAAUAGAAUUUGGGAUUUUCAAGUUAAAAUUAAGAGCUGUGCUAUUCUAUUUUCUUCUUCUAGUGAGCUGGGAGUCGAUUUUCUAAUUCAUCCUCCUCUCCGUCAUUUGCCUAUUGAUAACAUGCUAGGCCAUGGAGCACUUGUGCUUUUUAUUCCUUUUAAUUAACUUUUUAAAAUUAAUUAUGAUGACUUGUAGGGAUUUCUAUUCUUUCUUCUCAUCAAAUUUGUUUGGCUUAUUUUUUAUUUACAUCACACUACCCACUGCUGUGAAUUAACAAUAACAAAAAUCCGCACUCUUCCCUUCCACCUCUUGAACUGGAGAAACAGUUAGCUAAUAAGAGGCUAAAUGAGCCUUAGAGUAUAGAGAAGCUGGAAUCCUUAAAUUAUUUAAAUUGAAAAAUGGCUAGUUUUACAAUCAGAAAAACUCAAGUGGACCGUAAGCCCUACUUGAUUGUCCCCCUUAUCUGGAUGAUCUUGUAAUGACAGCUGGAGUUAUCUGCCAUUGGCAUCACUGUCCACAAAAGCUUCUACUCUCUCUGCUCAACUCUUCAGCGGCCCUGGGGAGCUGGAGCUGUUUCAGGGGAGAGGGCCCUAGAGAAUUGGAAACUUUAUUAAAAUGCAAAGCUGUCUCUAGUGACAGAAAAGCUCAGUAAAAAGUGUUGGAUCUAAGACCACAGAGCCAGAAAUGAUCUGCAGAAUGAAAACCGGAGAUUCCAUAUGCUAUCUCCAAAAGGCUAGUGCUGUCAGUGUAAAAUAAAAAGCAAUGUGAAAUAAACAGCAGUGUAAAAUAAAGAGCAGGCAAUAGAAGGAAAGGAAAAUAUAAUGUUUCAACAUGAGUGGUGCAACAAAUGCCAUGUGUCAGACCACCCCUUGCAGAAUUCUGUCUCAGGAAGCAGCCCUGUGGAAUGUACUGUGGGAAGUCAGGAUAGCUGUCUGCCUUGAAAGGUUAGAGGAGAACCCCUGAAACAUUCCUAAUGUUCUCUUGGUAAGCAACUCAUUCUUGGCUCUCAUCCAUGAAUUUUCUGAAACUCUUUGUUACUAAUAGUAUUAGUGGGAAUAAUAAAUAGGAAUCCAUCACACCUUGACUUGAAGCUGAAAGUGGCCCUUCACUUCACUUGCCUUUGACCAUGAGAAACCUAAUCCUCAAAAUAUAUUUUAGGGGCCAGCCUGGUUGCACAGAAGUUAAGUUAGCAAGUUCCGCUUUGGCAGCCCAGGGUUCGAUGGUUUGGAACCCGAGUGUGGACCCACACACCGCUUAUCAAGCCAUGCUGUGGCAGGCGUCCCACAUAUAAAAUAGAGGAAGAUGUACACGGAUGUUAGCUCAGGGCCAAUCUUCCUCAGCAAAAAGAGGAGGUUUGGUGGCAGAUGUUAGCUCAGGGCUAAUCUUCCUCCAAAAAAGAAAAAGAAAGAAAAAAAAUAUUUUAAGGGUGUUUUCCCAGUUUGAUCCCAUUGUACUAUAAAUUAACAAAAUAAGAUCUUAAAUUUGACACUUUGUCCAUUUAACUCAAAAGACUCCAUAUAUAUUACUCACUAAUAAGUUGAAGUGUUGAAAUGAAAAUCGAGGCACUAAAGUAUAGAACAAUCAAGUAAUUUGUUAUAAAUAAGGAAAAUUAGUAGCACAUUUAAAAUCAAGGUUCAAGAGAUUUCAAUUUGAGUAUACUUAAGCUCUUCAUAAAUCCUUCUUCCUUUUAUUUUGCAUUCGAAAGUUCCUACUAGAAAAAAAUUACUCUAAGCACAAAAACUCAUAAAUAAUAUUCAAAAUAUCUCAGUACUCUUAAAAAGCAAAGCAGUAUGUUCCUUUCCACACUUCACUGCUUUGAAAAAUUUCUCGGAAGAGAUUUAUUAACAUUAUCAUUCCCAUCUUAACAACCACCAACAACCAUUUAUUGAGUAUUUACCAUGUUUCUUUCCAGCCCUUCUCCCUUUUUCUAGUCUCAUUUUCCCUUCUGCUCUGGAACUUUGAAAAGGAGAAAAAAAUAAGAAAGUUAGUCUAAAUUACACAAAUGGUCAUUUCUCUUUUUGUGCAACCAGCAAGUUCAGUUAGCAAAUAAAAAAACUAAAUGAAGUACCCUAUUCCUUCAUUUUCAGCAAAAGACAUUAAAAUUACUGGUCAGAUCACAAUUACCCCAAAUAUCAAGAGAACCCCCAUAAAUGUAAUACUUUCACCCUUAUUAUUCCUAAAAAUAUUGUAUUUAUGCUUGACAUGUUUAUAAACUGAUUUUUUGUGACGAGAAAAGAUUGAUAGAACUGCUUAAGACCUUUUUCCCAUUUUUAGUUCAGAGAUGGCUUAGGUGUGACCUUGUAAACAAGCUUCCUUCUCCAAUGCAAGAAAACAAGGUCCUCUCUGUCCCCAAAAAAGACACUGGGCACCGGAACACAGAGAGGCCCCUUUGUCCAGCUCUCCCCUCCACCCACCAUUAGUAUGCACUGCUGCAAACUGCAGGCUGACUGAGGAACUUUUUUGACUUGGGAGGUUGGUUUUUGCAAAACCCCAACCUUUGUUCCACAGGGACACAUGUCAGAUGACAGUCCCCCAUUGUAAUAGUAACUCUACCAUGUUCUCCCAUUGAAGACAGUAUAUUGGUAGUGCAAGUGAGUGAAAACAAUCCUAUUUGUUACAAAGAUAACCUUGAGUUUGCUAGUAUUAAUUCUUAAAUAUGUUGUCUGAAAACCCCAGAACUUUAUUAUUAUUUCAUAUUUCUUGUAACUCAAUCACAGCUAAUCAUGACACAUCAGUCUCAUGACACUGGGGUUGAAAAAUGCCCAUUUGAUGAAAUUGGCAGCCAAACUGGCAGAGCUAAUAAAUGACAAGGUAUCCUUCAAUCCCUGGAGCUAACCCAAGACCCGAAAGGACACUGAACCAAUACCAGCUCUGAGGAAUCUUUCAGCAAAUGAUAGGACCACGUCAUACUGCUCGGCUCCUUCCAGCCUGGUGCCCCUCACACCAGCUUGUUCAACAGCCUCAAAUUUAUGAGCCAGGGCAGGACAAAGUAUGUUUACAUUAAACUAGGAUUUAAAUAAGCUUAAUAUACCAAAAUAUUGUUCACAGCGUGAAAUUAAUUUAUGUAUCAUGACUAAAUUUCUGUCUUAUUAAUUGUAUUAUUUACAUAUGUUAACUUGGAAUUUACAUUGAAAACAAAAUUAUUUUUAAAAUUUUCAGCAUCCAAAAUGCAAUGAUCCUCUGGAGAGCUUUUAAAAAGCCAAGUACAGAGACCAUAUCCAAGACAAGUUAAAUCUGAAUCUCUGAGGAUGGGACCCAGGCAUCAGUAUUUUUUAAAGCCCCACAGGUGGUUCCAAUGUGUAGCUGAGGUUGAGAACCACUGGUCUAAGGAAGGGAAAAGGGCAGGAGAGAGAGAGUAGCAUAGGAAGAUAUUAAGAAAUUCUGGUCAUAUAAUUAUAACUGGUGUUAUUUAGAUCUGUCAACCUGAUAUUCUGAGAGUUGCCAAUGACUCUGGAGAUGGGCAUAAGACAUUGCCUACCUCUCUCUGUGCAUCUAUCCUUGGAGCCUUAUAACUCUGUGAGCCAAGGGCAAAGAGGAAGUGGUGACUUCUCUACAACUGAAGAAUUCUCUCAAAACUAAUUCAGUAAAACUUUCCUCUACUUCUUUCUCUUCAGAGGCAGGUAGAAGUAGAGAAUUCUAGGCUUACUACCAGCUUCCCCAGAAUAGAUAGAUUCAGCCCACAGUUAAAAAAAUAAUACGGAAUAUCUCUCGUGAGCAAGGUUUUAACUUAAGCCUCAUGACAACCUGGGAGGCAGGUAUUAGAUGUGCCUCCAUUUUACAGAUGAAGAUACUGAGAAACAGCAACAUAAGAAAGCCGCCCGAGGUCAUACAGCUAAUGUGUGCCUAAGUCUAGACUUUUUACUCUAAGACAGAUGGAAAACUGACCAAGGGUCACCCAGCUAUUCAUGGACAGCUGUCUGUGUUAAAAGAAUCUUCCAUUCUUUAGGUGGAGAAUCAAAUUAGUAUGCUAAUUGUGUUCUUUGCUAGUAUGUGUAAGCAAGCAUUAUACUCACAGACAUAGAAAAGAAUCUUAGUAUUCAGACACCAGUAUGGUAUUUGUCCUCUUUUGAAACAUCAUCACUAGUUCUCAUGGCCAAUUCAAGUCUAUUGGAGUUUCUUUGAUUAAAAAAAAAAUUUUAAUGUUUGGAAUAGCUAAGAGAACCCAGCAUAUGCGUCUAAGCUCAAACUUACAUGGAACCUUUGAAAACAGGGUAUGACUCCUUCUUAUAAUAGUUCUGAAAAUGGAAAUCCUCUUGAAUUCGUGGUGGUAGAAAAGAAAAAGGAAAAAUACAUUGUGUAUGUUCUCCCUCUGAAGUCCUAGAGUGUGACAGUGUAAUUGGGAUUUGGCAUCAACCCCAAACAGCUGGAGCCAUCUGUUUUGUAUUUUGUAAACUUUUUUCUCAACCAGAAAUUGCUAGCUACCUAAAGAAACAACCUAAGGUAAGACCAGCCCUCAACCAAUCUGAAGAAAGCCGUUUAUCUUUGAUUUACUCAUCAAGCAUUGCCUUGUGUCUACCUUGUGCGAGGCGCUCUUGCUUUAGCUAUUUCAUUUGUACCCCUUCCGCAACUUACUGGCACUCCUCUCCCUCUUCCUCUCGUGCUUAUUCCCAGCGGCCUCAUUCCCUAUCCCUUUACCCUCUGGGCCAAAACGUGCCCUCAGAUCUUUCAUUCAUAUGAAGGUAAAAGUGGUUGAUAACAGCUGAAAAGAGUUAUGAUUUCCAGGGUGAUAUGCGUUUUAACAGGGAUCAAAUCCUUGAAGCUAAAAGGGCAGUGCUCUUGUGCUAUCAUUACAGGCAGUGGUUCCCUGGAGACUGGUGAAGCCUGCUCCAAUCUUGCCACUCACACAGCAGCCUACUGCUCUGUUGAGCUCAGGGCCAUGCCUUUUCAUGUUUUUCUCCCAAGUGCUUGGCACAGUGACUAGCACAUUUGGCACUCAAUAAUGAAGGAAGCUCUAGCCUGAGGAAAACAAAUUGCAACAAUAGAGACGCCCUGACACAGAUGAAUGGGGAGAUGCUGGAUUAGUUUUGAGCCAACAUGCCGUAGGGAGAGGCCAGGUAAAAGCAAUAAGAGGAGAUAACAUGGUCCCAUUAUUUGAACUUUCCUAGAAGCCAGUGGCAGUUUCAAGAGACUUCUGGGAGUUACCAUUAGCUCUAGGAUCUACAAAUCUGGUUUGACUUAGUAGCUCUGCUACAUUUCAAUUUGAGUUGCACUGAAAUUGAGAUAAAGAGUAAAUUAAUCAUUCAAAAAAUAUUUAUUGAGCACCUAUUAUGUACAAGGAAUACUGCUAGACGUUGUGGAUAUAGGUGUAUAAAAUUCAGUUCCUGCCCUCAUGAAGCUAGCAUUCUACUUAAGGAGGCUGAUGUGAAACCUAAUGAUAUAAUUUGGCAGUUAGUUGGAGUUGUAUUAAGUGCAGCAAAGGAAAAUUGCAGGGUACUAAGAAAGCGCAUGAGAGAGGGAUAUGACCUAAUAUAGAAGGUCGGGAAAAGCUUCUUACAAAAAAAAAAGUCAUUUAAGCGGAUUCCGUAAGGAUGAGUAGGAAGAAGUGGACAUUUCUAAUGAGCACCUUUACCAUGUGGUACACUAGAGCUAAUCCUCAGAUCAAUUUUCUUCCUGCUAAUUGUCUUGAUUCCUUUUCUUGAUGUUGUUCAUGUAGACAACAUUUUGAGGUCUUUGCGACAAUCUGCCCAUUCAAGGCUGAAUUCAGACAAAAGAAAACAUUGGCAUGGAGCAAGAAAUCAUUUCCAUAGAUGUCAACAACUUCACGAGGCACACACAAGUGUACUGUGAUCUCAUCCAUUACUUUUCUGUGUGCUCUUGGUCAUUAGCAUGAAUGCCCAUUUGACAUACCCCAUCAGUACACUCUAGGCCAGCAGCUUUCCAAUUCUAAAAUGUCAACAAAGUAGACUUUCUAUAUGGCUCUGUCCAGAAACUUUGAGUGAAAGAAAAGGAGUUAGGAAAAAGAAAAUGAAUCAAGGAACUGAAAACCGCAGCGAAAGCCUGGUCUUGUAAGGACACUUUAACCACCCCACCUCACCCUUCUUUUAAUGUGAAGCCCGUACUUUGCAAGUUUGCAAAAAGACAUUCCCAAGCUCUUCAUGCUAUUUUAUGCAUCACCUUCUCUUCAGCACAUUAAGUUCUUGUUCCUAAAAACUCACUCCUGGCAUCUUCCCCUAUUACCCUACUAUCCCAAUCUGAUUUAGAUGCUCCUUCUUCGUGCUCUCAUAGCACUCUACACUUUUAUACCUUAUCACAGCUGUAUUAUAAUAAUUGAUUUACUUAUCUGACUCAUCUACUUCUUGAGGGAGGAAGUUCCUUAAGGGCAAGGCUCAUGUUUUAAUCAUUUUUGUAUCCCUAGUGCCUAUCAGAGUACUUAAAAAAGAAUCCACUGAAUGAAUUAAUGUUCAUGCAUGAUAGUUACUGUCCCUGUCUUCGCCUCUGGAGAGACAUGGAGACUUAGAUUCUGCAAAUCUAGUAAACAAGGCUGGCUUUGGAUGUAGGAAACUUUUGACCCAUGGCAGUCUGAAAUUCUUCUCCAUUUCUAGAUAAACCUAUUGUAAUUACCUUAACUGGGCUAUUGCUUUAUGGGCUUUCUUUGAAAACGUUUUAAGAACUAAAUAGAUCAGUAUAUAUGGUCCACUAACCAGUAUGUCAGUCAAGAGCAAGAUUGGUUUCGAUGUUUGGCAUUGAAUAAGAUACUAUUAUGUGCAUAAGUCUGAUCUUUUAGUCAAUGUGUUUUAAAUAAUUUCCACAUUUCGUGUUAAAAAUAGUGUAAUUUCCAAGCUAGAAGCAAAGGAAGAAUAAACUAUGCCUAGCAGGACAUUUGUCAAGUAUUAAGUACUUAAAUGUUUGUUUAAUGAGAAAAGGAAAGGAUACAUUACUAAAGGAAUAAUUGGAUGCAUGUAUAAAUAUAGUGCAAUCUGCAGGAAUCAUCAAGCCGUAAGUUAGAAUAAGUUACUUACCGUUGGCAAAAUGACAAAGCCAUCAAACACAAAAAAUAAAAGCUAAUGGGAGAUCACAUUUUCCAAACAAGUAGGACCCUAAUAUCAUUUAAAUAAUGAAAAAGAAGAGUGUGUUCAAAAAUAAAAUACCCGGAGGAGGCAAAAGAUUGAUAUAUGAGGAGAGAGUAUUGAAAACUCUAGAGAAAUCUCCAUACCACCCACUCUUCCUCCUUACACCCCCUCCCCCCAGUCACCGUCCUCACAUACACACAAGUCAUGAUUGUCUUGUCUACUUGCUUUUCCUGAAAUAAACUUGAUUUGAAAAAGAGGAAGUUAGAGAUGCUAGUAGGGUAAGAGAAAGAGCCCUCCAACAGAGAUUCCCCUGCUUCCUCCUCUACCUAUUAUUCUUCACGAUAGGCGUAAUUGCUGCCUCUUCCAUGAAAACCUUUCCUGAGCCACUGUCACCUACAGCUAAUUGCCCCCUUCCCCUGCACGCUUACUACAGCUUACCCUCUCCCCUCUUUGCACUUCUUUCACUGUCCUUCAUUAUAGUUGUCUACAUCUGUCCAUCCUCCAGAAUAGGAGCUUUGAAAGAGGUGUUGUGUCUCCUUUAUCUUUAUAUCCCAUUCUUCCUCUCUUCCUUUUCCAUUCCUAACCCAGAGCCUGGCAAAAAACAGAAACUCUGAAAGUGUUUGUUGGAUAGAAGGAAGGAAAGAAGAAAAAGAAGGCAGUUUAUUUCUGAAGAAAAGACCAUUUGCCUUCUUUCUUCAAAAUAUUUUCUCUUUCUAAAAUCAGGGGGCAGCCUUUUUUUCCCUCCAUGUGUUAGGGUGUGUGUCCUUGAACACCUUACUUUGGCAAAGAGCCAAAUCCCGUGUCCAGCCAGCUGAGUCAUUUUCAGUUUCUUUGUGGUCCAUUCAUGCUUUUCCCCUUCAUUGACACACUAACAUUUCAUGGUGAGUGGGUCCUGUUCAGCUGGCAGCCCCUCUCAGCCCCCACACCUCUAAGCUGUCCUCACUUCACUAGUUCCCAAUUGCCUGCCUCUUGAGGAGCCCUCUGUCCUCGUCAUUGUCUGGCUAUCGGAGGAGCUGUUGGUUUGCUGUUGCCACACCUCAGUUUUCAUAAUUAACAACACGAAACAAACUCAGAGAAUGAGAGACCUCUCCUAGAGGCUAUCUCCUCUUAUAUGUUCUUUUGGAAAGCACCCAGUUUGUUUUAAGAAAAUGAGAGAAAUACGGAUAAUGAAAGAACUCGACAGAUGUAAUAUCUGCUUAAUCUAGUAUCUUGUUAAAAUCUCUUAUUUUUUAUUUUUCUCAAAUACCUAUAUGUCUUACCUCGCUGCCCUCUGCAAUAGCGACUCCCAGUGAGUUUCUAGUUCAAUCUUAUUUUAUAGGUCAUCAAUUUGCACCUUAACCUCAAAAAUAGCAAUAAUCCAUGAGCAAAUUUAGUAAUUAAAAAUCCAGCACUCUAAAGCAUGGCAUCCAGUGUUUCUCUUUACUGACUUCCAAACAGAAAUCUCACACACACACACACACACACACACACGCAUUUGUUACAAGGUUAGCAUUUCAGGAUUUACUUUUGUGCCUUUGGCCCUUAGUAGGUACUCAAUAACUUCCUGCUGGCACACUGAUUAGUUUUAGUAGCUCCUUGUUAUUUCCAAAAGGAUGGCAUUUUCCAGAAUUUUCUGAUCAACAAAUGAAAUAUGUGUUUUCUUAAAGCCAUGGAAAUAGAAUAAUUCAUAUUGCGAGGUUAUUUAUUACCAGCCAGACCCUCUUCUUGCUCUACGGGGCUCUGAUAAUCACCUAUUUCAGAAGCCGUUAGCUUUCUGUGUGUUGUAAGCUCUCUUCACCGUAAUGUGUCUAUGCCUUUGUGUUUGGGGCAGGAAUGACGUGCGCUGAAGGAACAGACCUCUGUUGACCAAGUAAGAAAGACUUUGAUGCGCAAAUAGUACAUUAAACUGCUUGUAUUUGAUAAGUGUUGAAAUUAAACAGCGUGGGGAAUCCCUUGCUCGAGUAUGGGAACACAUAAAACUUUUGAGAAUGUGAAUAUUAAUUCAAAUGCUUAAUAUUACUGAAACACAGAGGUAUAAGAAAAAUACACAUCGAAAUAAUGUAGCCAUCAAAGCUCAGGCACUUACAGGAGGACAGCAGAAGCUGGGUUUAGCUUAUUGAUUUUAAAACCACUGUUUAAAAAAAUAGAGGCAAAAUAUUGCUUUUACUGUUUUCCGAUAAUAAUGACUGUUGUUGCAAAUUAUAAAAUUUAAUUAGCUAUAUAAAUGCCAGAGGAACAAAUAGUGUGCUAUUGUCUUGAUAUCUUUCCAGAAAUUAGUCUUUUAAAAUAAAUUUGCCAUAUUAAUCAUCUAAAAAUAUUUUUGAUCACUGAAUUAAUAGUUUGCAGCCUGUUUUCAGGUGCUCAUUGCCAUAGGUGAUUGCUUCUUAAUUACUACAUGGGCUUUUUCUAUUCACUCAUAUUAAUUCAUGUUUUCUGGCACAGUCCCAAAAGGCAGCCUUGCCCUAUAUCUUCUAAUUACUUCUAUAAUUGAAUUUGCCCACUUUUUCUAACCUAUUUUUUAAACUGACUGUGUUUGUUCAUGGUUUAUUGUGUCUUUUUUGUGUCAGUUCUCUGCAAGCAGAAUGUACAUUGAUUCUUUCCUCGUUUCUCAUUAAUUUUCAAGAGCUUUGCUGCAUGUCUGUUUUUUCAGUCUGUCAGACCUAUUGCUAGACCAAAAAAAAAAAAAAGACUCUUAUUAUUAAAGGUUAGGUAAAAUAGACUGAAGUUAAUUAAUUCAUUAGUAACCCUGAGCCAAUUACUGAAGGCUUCUCUUAUUUAUAUACUUGUUAACAAGACAGAAAUGAGCAAGGCCAAUUAUAGGCACAUGUCCUUCAGAAGUUCAGUAAACCCAGAGCUUAUGCAUUUGACACUCCUCCAAAAAGAAUUUCAGUUUAUAUAUCAGAGGUGCAAAAUUGCAUUAAAAAAUUGUUGGCUAACAGUCUAUUCCAUUCUAUCUAUUAAUCAAUUUUAAAGGUUUUUCCCCCCAUCCAGAUAUCUUUAAUAUGUCUAAUAUUACUAAAUUCUUCUAAAAUUAUCUCAAAGAGUAUUGCUUAGCCUUAGAGGAAUUACAAAAAUAGAAGAAAUUUGACUUAUUUUCUGGGUUUCAUUAUUCUCUUCUUUCCAAGCUAUUAAGCUUUUAGUUCUUGAAGUGGGAUAAUUAAUUAGCAGAUCUCAUAUGCUAGAACCCUUUAAAAUAUGUUCUACUUAAUUUUUAUUGAAUAUGCCAAAACUUUACAACAUGUGGAAAGGCAGUUUUUUCCAGAUUUUUCCUGAUAAACAAUAUAAAAAAUUGUAACUCUUCAUCCAUGCAAACUACCUGCACAGCACAUACUGUAUCUUUUACUUCCCCUUCCUGCCCCUGAAAUAUUUUGUUAAUGUAGCAGGGGUUAGGAGGGAAAGGAGAGGGGGAUUGAUUCGUUUUCUGUACGUCUAUAUUUUCUUCAUACACUUGUGCCGGCAUGGGACCAAGAAAUCAACAGAGUCAACUGACGCUAAUGUCUCAAUAAAUUGACUGAUUGUUUGACUGAAUUAAAACUAACUUGUUAUGUUUUUUCUUUUUUUUUCCUACUUUUUAAAUAUCAUGUGAGAUAUGAGUUUCCAUAGUUAAGAGAUACCAAAAUGAUGUCAGGGUUACUGCUGCCUAACUUUUUAGUUUUUCCACAGUCCCAAAUGUAUUAAAAUUUAAUCAGUUAUUUUAUAGCAUAAUAAUGACAAUCACAGCAUGGUAAAAUGAGAAAGAAUCUCAGCAGACAAUAAAUCCAGGUCUUGAUUCUUGGAAAACUAAAGGAAAAAGUUUAAAAAUGUGUAAUGUACCUUAUGCAGGAAUGCUUUUUGUAAUACUGCCUACAUCCGAAGUUACGCUCUCUGGCUUCCAAAUUUCCAUACCCUCUUGUUUAUAACUAUUUUAUAGAACUUCGCACUUUCUAACCUGUAUUAUCAUAACUUGUAUCUUUUUCUCUGCUGAAUUAUUAUCUAAUUGAGGAAGUAACUGUUUUUUGUGCACUGUGUAGCCCCAGCAAUGCCUGGCAAAUAGUGGGCUCUUAACAAAUACAGUCAGAAGAAUUAGGAAUGAGGAGUGCAUAAUCUCUUUUUACGGUGUUCAGUGUCCGUCCUCCCUCACUGUGUAGGCUAACUAAGGAAUCUCUUGCUUGAAAUCAGUUAAUGUAUCUUAAUUUUCUGUGGUAAAUGCAAUAAAUUGGUAACAAAUGUCCCAUUAUUAAUUCAUUAUGUAGGCUUCUCUGCUCCAAGAUUAAAAAUCUAUACUAAUUUUUCCUCAGAUGACCUGUUUUUCAUUCCUUUAAUUACUGUAUGACUUUUUUUUAUGGCUUUGUUGACCCAGAGUCUGUUACUUUGGGCCAAGACCACACAGGCCCUUUUUACUCUUCCCAGGACCAUGUGCAGUGCGGUUUUUGUAUUUUCAGAAACACCUGUGUGAAGCAGAAAUUAGAUUUCCUAGACUCCUGGUCUCCUCAGGGCUUUUACCCAUCCGUUUUUCAUGUCGUUGCUUCAGUGAAGCUGGUUUUCCUUCAGCUAACUUUUGUGUAUUAUCCAUGCCUUUCUUUCUUUUUACCCUUUCUCUCUCUUCCUUCCUUCCUUUUUUCUUUUUCCUAGUUUUUUGAAAUAAAGUAUUUUAUAGUUAUGUCUCCUAAUAAUCGCACUUGAUAUGUUUAUAAUGAUUUCUCAGUGUACAAGCUCCCUUCACAGAUAAGCAUCUCAUUUGAUUCUUACAGGCUAAGUAUUAUGUAGAUGAGGAAACUAAAAUUCAGAGAGGGUAAGUGACUCGCCCAAGGCCGCACAGCUAGUUACAAUUUCAGUUUCCAAAUUUUCGACUUGUUUGCCUCUCUGUGAGAGCAAAAUCCAGAAGGUCCCCUUUUCUUAGUUGAUUCUCACCGUUUGUGUGAGGAAACUACCUAACAUACUUCCUAAACAGCUGGAUUUGUAGCCAACUGUUUUCCAGUAAUUGCCUAAUUAUAAGGAAGAAAAUGUGGCCUAGUACUUUAACGUGCAUAUAUCAUCC